This 113-nucleotide non-coding RNA is filed under the name Acyrthosiphon pisum (pea aphid). The record is from RNAcentral. Lineage: Eukaryota; Metazoa; Arthropoda; Insecta; Hemiptera; Aphididae.
GGGGGGGUGUGCUGUACCUUCUCGUGGUCCUCCCUGUAAGUAGUGGUAUUCCUAAGGUGCUUUCUAAUCUAUGAGAUCGAAAUUAUCUUAACAUGCCACGAAACCAAACAGCA